This 533-nucleotide long non-coding RNA is filed under the name Homo sapiens (human). Its description in RNAcentral is "HSALNT0134217". The record is from RNAcentral. Lineage: Eukaryota; Metazoa; Chordata; Mammalia; Primates; Hominidae.
GUCAGCAGGUAUUCUGCCCGUUUCCAGUCACCAAGCUGUGAAGAAGCCAAGCAGUUCUCAUGGAAAAACCACAUAUAUGUAUUUCUGCCAAGAGGCCCAGCCAAGAUCCCAGCAACAGCCAGCAUCAACUACCAGACAUAAACCGGCCGGGUGGAGGAUGCAGCCGGGCGUGGUGGCUACAAGGAAGUGCCCUGGUGUUAAGAACUCAGCCUCUGAAACCCGCCGCCCAGCUUCGAGUCAGCGACGUACUUUUGUUGUCCCGGCCUUAGUAUCCCCGCUGCAAUAAGAGGUACUCAGCUCAAACCAUCUGGGUGAGGAUUAAAGGAGUUCAUAUCCAUAAAGGACUAGAACAGGUCCUGGCACCACGUAAACAUUCUUAUCAUCAAAUGUGAAAAAACAAAGUUCUCUAAGAUUUCGAAAGUGAACAGGUUAUUUUUCUACGGAGUAUUUGUGUCUGUUUCAACGUAAAAUUCAAGAUUUUUCUUUGUGAUUGAUGAAUGCGUGCUACUUUAGGAAUCUAGUGACUUUUGAAC